Molecule: regulatory RNA element, 55 nt
Organism: Methylobrevis pamukkalensis
Lineage: Bacteria; Pseudomonadati; Pseudomonadota; Alphaproteobacteria; Hyphomicrobiales; Pleomorphomonadaceae
Rfam family: terC RNA
Source: Rfam
CCGUCAGGCCGGGCCCCUCUGGCAGCCAUCAGUGCUGCGAUGUCGGACUGAACGA